Ornithorhynchus anatinus (platypus) is the source of this 387-nucleotide long non-coding RNA. RefSeq lists it as uncharacterized. The record is from RefSeq and is a predicted model, not a curated record. The transcript is spliced from 3 exons. Lineage: Eukaryota; Metazoa; Chordata; Mammalia; Monotremata; Ornithorhynchidae.
UCUAAUCAGAAAGGGAAGGAAGUGCUUCCAUCUGUGCUCUUAGAUGCCUUAUUGAUCUGAUAAGAUCGGGUGUUGCCUAAGGGGUCUAAAGAGGAAGAAGGUGGCUUGACUUUUUGGGCUUCUGUAUCAAGUGUGGAAUUCUAAUGGCUUCUUGUGAAAAUAGAUUGCAGUCCGGGUGGCUGGCGGAAUUCCGGCACAAGUGAAGUUCAUUCUCCCUGUCUUGGACUCAGAUAUUUGAAGCUGAAAGGCCCUUCUUCAAGAAGAUGAGCUGGCUGGCGCCUCCUGAAAUGUGCCCGGAGUUUUGCAACUGUAAAAGACACAGAUCAGAGUGAAGAUUUAAAAAAAAGAUCCUGUUUCACAUGGAUUCAAAUAAACAUGCAAACACUA